GCGGCAGUUAGGGGAGCGGCCAACCGGACCGGUAACGAAACAUAAGAAACCCAGCAGAAGAGCCGGUCUGGAUGACCUCAACACAUCUUUCCGCGAUGAACCGGCGACCAACGCUCUUAGCGGUAGCCAGCUAAUACGGCAGAUUCCGUAGGGCAGGAGACACGGAGGAUUGCAGUUCCGCCGUAUCACUUCCUCAAGUACGCGUUUGAAAGAACCCAACGGUAGAAUUCGAGUCCGUUGAUGUGGUGGGAGUUGGGAAUGGUUGCGUACGGAUGCGUGGCAUCGGACACGGUGGAAGCGCAACGCGGAUCUCCUCCAUGUGGCGUUCUCCGAGACUCCAACCUACCGUUCUCGUACAACCGAAGGUUCUACUGGGAAAUGUUCGUCUGUGAAUGUUAUUUUUUUGCGCCAUGACGUGAGGAAAAAAAUAGGGAAAAAUGUCAGCCAUUUGCCUCGGUUCAUUUUCUGUCUGCUUCUCGUUUCGACCACAACACUACUGCUGCACAGUUCGGAUGUGUUCUGGGGAAAAUUGUCUUUUAGGCUAAGAAAGAUUCAAAAAAAUUUUUGUCUUCAGUACAAAAAGUCUUGUUAAGAGAAAA
Long non-coding RNA from Ornithorhynchus anatinus (platypus), 599 nucleotides. RefSeq lists it as uncharacterized. Lineage: Eukaryota; Metazoa; Chordata; Mammalia; Monotremata; Ornithorhynchidae. The record is from RefSeq and is a predicted model, not a curated record. The transcript has 3 exons.